GAGUAGGCUAUGAUGCUCAAAAUCUACCUAUUUGCUGAAAGGAGAUUUUCUCCUUCUGUGAUUAUACAUUUAACCAAUGGAUCCUUCUGAGCCUACU
Molecule: non-coding RNA, 97 nt
Organism: Solanum lycopersicum (tomato)
Lineage: Eukaryota; Viridiplantae; Streptophyta; Magnoliopsida; Solanales; Solanaceae
Source: Rfam